UAAAACCAUCACAAUGGGGGUGCCCUCUC
This 29-nucleotide non-coding RNA is filed under the name Mus musculus (house mouse). Lineage: Eukaryota; Metazoa; Chordata; Mammalia; Rodentia; Muridae. The record is from RNAcentral.